This 125-nucleotide small nucleolar RNA is filed under the name Nippostrongylus brasiliensis. RNAcentral describes it as "Nematode snoRNA ceN39". It matches the Rfam family "Nematode snoRNA ceN39". The record is from Rfam by way of RNAcentral. Lineage: Eukaryota; Metazoa; Nematoda; Chromadorea; Rhabditida; Heligmosomidae.
CGAGCGGAUAGGAACCAUUUCGCGUGUGUAUGCGAAGUGGGCCGAUAAACCGCUAAAAUCAAUGAUUAAGGAUGUAUGUGCGUUCUAUCUUGUGAUGAAAUGCAGUUCUAUCCUUAGUUGGACAU